UGAAGCUCAGGCCACACUGCUGUGCGUUU
RNAcentral lists this non-coding RNA (29 nucleotides) under Homo sapiens (human). The record is from RNAcentral. Lineage: Eukaryota; Metazoa; Chordata; Mammalia; Primates; Hominidae.